RNAcentral lists this ribosomal RNA (754 nucleotides) under uncultured bacterium. Its description in RNAcentral is "bacterial SSU rRNA". It matches the Rfam family "Bacterial small subunit ribosomal RNA", at positions 8 to 773 of the family's 1533-position model. The record is from RNAcentral.
AGAGUUUGAUCCUGGCUCAGGAUGAACGCUGGCGGCGUGCCUAACACAUGCAAGUCGAACGGAGUUACGAUGAAACCUAGUGAUUCGUAACUUAGUGGCGGACGGGUGAGUAACGCGUGGAUAACCUGCCUUACACUGGGGGAUAACACUUAGAAAUAGGUGCUAAUACCGCAUAAGCGCACAGAGCCGCAUGGCUCAGUGUGAAAAACUUCGGUGGUGUAAGAUGGAUCCGCGUCUGAUUAGCUGGUUGGCGGGGUAGAAGCCCACCAAGGCGACGAUCAGUAGCCGGCCUGAGAGGGUGAACGGCCACAUUGGGACUGAGACACGGCCCAAACUCCUACGGGAGGCAGCAGUGGGGAAUAUUGCACAAUGGGGGAAACCCUGAUGCAGCAACGCCGCGUGAGUGAAGAAGUCAUUCGUGAUGUAAAGCUCUAUCAGCAGGGAAGAAAAUGACGGUACCUGAGUAAGAAGCCCCGGCUAACUACGUGCCAGCAGCCGCGGUAAUACGUAGGGGGCAAGCGUUAUCCGGAUUUACUGGGUGUAAAGGGAGCGUAGACGGCCAGACAAGUCUGAAGUGAAAAUCCAGCGCUUAACGUUGGAAGUGCUUUGGAAACUGCCGGGCUGGAGUGCAGGAGGGGCAGGCGGAAUUCCUAGUGUAGCGGUGAAAUGCGUAGAUAUUAGGAGGAACACCAGUGGCGAAGGCGGCCUGCUGGACUGCAACUGACGUUGAGGCUCGAAGGCGUGGGGAGCAAAC